CUCCCGCACUUUCUUCAUUCGUCCUCCCAUCCUCAGUUUCCCAUUUCGCCAAUUCUUUCAACUUUUCUUCCCUUCAACCUCACAGACAAUUCAAUCUUUUUUGGCUCCCCUUUGGAAUACUACUCUGUUUCUUCCAAUUAUAUACAGGAUGAACUCCGCCAGAUCGUUUGCACUUCCAAUUAUCGGUUUCAUCAUGUUGGCGCUUUUUGAAUUGAGCCGUGGACAAAGCAUCACGGCCCCUUCCCCUGCACCAAUCGGCCCUCCUUCUAAUGAUGGCACUGAAAUUGAUCAAGGGGUUGCCUAUGUUCUUCUCCUGGUGGCGCUGGCUAUUACAUACUUGGUUCAUUGAGCUUAAUCUUUCUUCUCGGCCCCAAUUCUUUUUUUUUUUUAGAAAUUACUAGUAAAUUCUUUAUGUAUUUUCUCCAUUUGUUUGGACGGAGAUAUGUGACAUUUUUUGUACUUCUGUCUACGCUUGUAAAGAUAUUGGUUCAGAGGUAUAAUUAAAAAGAAGAAGCAUUUCUGGCGAUAA
Long non-coding RNA from Coffea eugenioides, 529 nucleotides. RefSeq lists it as uncharacterized. The transcript has 2 exons. The record is from RefSeq and is a predicted model, not a curated record. NCBI's taxonomy places the organism in Eukaryota, Viridiplantae, Streptophyta, Magnoliopsida, Gentianales, Rubiaceae.